RNAcentral lists this ribosomal RNA (467 nucleotides) under uncultured bacterium. RNAcentral describes it as "partial 16S ribosomal RNA". It matches the Rfam family "Bacterial small subunit ribosomal RNA", at positions 28 to 506 of the family's 1533-position model. The record is from RNAcentral.
GACGAACGCUGGCGGCGUGCUUAACACAUGCAAGUCGAACGGAAAGGCCCUGCUUUUGUGGGGUGCUCGAGUGGCGAACGGGUGAGUAACACGUGAGUAACCUGCCCUUGACUUUGGGAUAACUUCAGGAAACUGGGGCUAAUACCGGAUAGGAGCUCCUGCUGCAUGGUGGGGGUUGGAAAGUUUCGGCGGUUGGGGAUGGACUCGCGGCUUAUCAGCUUGUUGGUGGGGUAGUGGCUUACCAAGGCUUUGACGGGUAGCCGGCCUGGGAGGGUGACCGGCCACAUGGGGACUGGGAUACGGCCCAGACUCCUACGGGAGGCAGCAGUGGGGAAUAUUGCACAAUGGGCGGAAGCCUGAUGCAGCAACGCCGCGUGCGGGAUGACGGCCUUCGGGUUGUAAACCGCUUUCGCCUGUGACGAAGCGUGAGUGACGGUAAUGGGUAAAGAAGCACCGGCUAACUACGU